This 162-nucleotide unclassified non-coding RNA is filed under the name uncultured Clavariaceae. RNAcentral describes it as "sequence contains ITS1". Lineage: Eukaryota; Fungi; Basidiomycota; Agaricomycetes; Agaricales; Clavariaceae. The record is from RNAcentral.
UUGAAUUUUAAACUUGGGAUGUUGCUGACUCUACCCAGGGUAAUGUGCACUCCCUUGAUAUUCAAAUCCACCUGUGCACAAUCGAGUAGGCAUAGAUUGGGUUCUGUGCCUAUGUUUUUACACACUCUCUAUGUUUGUAAAAGAUGGCUUUUUAUAAUAUAA